This 460-nucleotide ribosomal RNA is filed under the name uncultured bacterium. Its description in RNAcentral is "partial 16S ribosomal RNA". It matches the Rfam family "Bacterial small subunit ribosomal RNA", at positions 338 to 795 of the family's 1533-position model. The record is from RNAcentral.
CCUACGGGAGACAGCAGUGAGGAAUAUUGGUCAAUGGACGAGAGUCUGAACCAGCCAAGUAGCGUGAGGGAUGACUGCCCUAUGGGUUGUAAACUUCUUUUGUAAGGGAGUAAGACGAAGGACGGGUGCCGCUGUGCGUGUACUUGAUGAAUAAGGAUCGGCUAACUCCGUGCCAGCAGCCGCGGUAAUACGGAGGAUGCGAGCGUUAUCCGGAUUUAUUGGGUUUAAAGGGAGCGUAGGUGGGUGGUUAAGUCAGUGGUGAAAGUUUGCGGCUCAACCGUCAAAUUGCAAUUGAAACUGGCAGUCUUGAGUACAGUAGAGGUAAGCGGAAUGCGUGGUGUAGCGGUGAAAUGCUUAGAUAUCACGAAGAACCCCGAUUGCGAAGGCAGCUUACUAAACUGUGACUGACAUUGAUGCUCGAAAGUGUGGGUAUCAAACAGGAUUAGAUACCCUUGUAGUC